UUUAAAAUGACGACGAUCAUACGUGUCAACAAAUAGCCAUAACUUACAAAUAACGGUUUCUCAUAUAAUACAGCAACGAUUCCCAACAGAGCACUAAGCAUCAGCUAUAAUAAAACAACAACAGAUCAUUAUUAAAAUGAAUUUAUUAUCAAAAAACUACUUUAAGAGCAGAAUAUGAAUGCAUUAUUUACUAUUUAUACUUGAAUGUGCAUUUAAGCGUAAACUCCUCAACAAUGUGGACGUGAUUUAUUUGUGUAAAAGAUACGAAGAUGAUUUUGUUAACAAAGCGAAGUUAUUACAGCAAAGGAUUGGAAGAUCAAGGCUCAAACACAUGGCGAUGAAAAUAUAAAGAAUUUGGUAAACAUCAGAUCCUGAUGACAAAAUAUCAGUCCUUAAGUUAUCUAGUAGGGUGAUUAAUGGUCAAAAAACUACAGCAAGCAAGAGCAAGAAUCAUCUACUGUAUUUCACUGUAACCUAUAGUGUCAUCCACUGUAAACUCAGUGCUAUAUCUACAAGCUGUAACUUACUGUAACUCGCAUACAUCCACUGUGAUCUGUCUUUAAUCGCGAUAAUCCUGUGUUGUACAAUCAUCAACAGAUGAACCGACACUACAUAAUAUGCUUUAUUACGACUGAAUAAUAGUCAAACUGUAUUAUAUAAGCUUAUACUUUUGGCGGUGAGAAAUCAACUCUUCAGAAGAUAUGGUGUUGUCCUUUGUAUGAUGGGUGGAAGGGUUUAGUAUUGUUUUUAAUCACUAACAACACAAGAUGUGCAAUCAUCAACGGAUGAACCAAGUGUCCGAAGUGUGUUUCGUUAAAAUGCAACAAUGCUCAAACAAUAAGAGCUUAUGUUCCUGAUGAGGAACUGGAAGCCAAUCUCCAUGCGAGAACAUGGUGUUGUUCUUUAUGAAGAUGAAAGGGUCCUGGGGUUAGAAAUGAGUUAAAAUCUUCAUAUUUUUGACAUUGCAUGUUACACAUUUUUCUUGACAUUGUAAAGUUAAAAAUGAAAGCACAGAGUUAUCGUUCAAUCUAAUUGAAGAAUUUAGGAUAUGACGUGACUACCAUGAAGAUUAUCAAAGUUAUCAAAUGUUACAAACAUGUUACAAACGUAUAAUUAUCAUUACAAGGAAAUGAUAUCAUAGUUUCAUGAAAUCAUAGUUUAAUGAUGUCAUAGUUUAAUGAUGUCAUAGUUUAAUGAUAUCAUAGUUUCAUGAAAUCAUAGUUUAAUGAUGUCAUAGUUUAAUGAUAUCAUAGUUUCAUGAAAUCAUAGUUUCAUGAAAUCAUAGUUUAAUGAAAUCAUAGUUUAAUGAUGUCAUAGUUUAAUGAUAUCAUAGUUUCAUGAAAUCAUAGUUUAAUGAUGUAAUAGUUUAAUGAUAUCAUAGUUUCAUGAAAUCAUAGUUUAAUGAUGUCAUAGUUUAAUGAUGUCAUAGUUUAAUGAUGUCGUAGUUUAAUGAUGUCAUAGUUUAAUGAUGUCAUAGUUUAAUGAUGUUGUACCAAAAACUUUAUUCAAAUGUUAACUUACACUAUUAAACCAAUCUGUGUAAA
Molecule: long non-coding RNA, 1544 nt
Organism: Xenia sp. Carnegie-2017
Lineage: Eukaryota; Metazoa; Cnidaria; Anthozoa; Malacalcyonacea; Xeniidae
Exons: 2
Source: RefSeq, a predicted model, not a curated record